This 1219-nucleotide ribosomal RNA is filed under the name Lysinibacillus sp. LMS2. RNAcentral describes it as "bacterial SSU rRNA". It matches the Rfam family "Bacterial small subunit ribosomal RNA", at positions 91 to 1294 of the family's 1533-position model. Lineage: Bacteria; Bacillati; Bacillota; Bacilli; Caryophanales; Bacillaceae. The record is from RNAcentral.
GUUAGCGGCGGACGGGUGAGUAACACGUGGGCAACCUACCUUAUAGUUUGGGAUAACUCCGGGAAACCGGGGCUAAUACCGAAUAAUCUAUUUCACUUCAUGGUGAAAUACUGAAAGACGGCAUCUCGCUGUCGCUAUAAGAUGGGCCCGCGGCGCAUUAGCUAGUUGGUGAGGUAACGGCUCACCAAGGCGACAAUGCGUAGCCAACCUGAGAGGGUGAUCGGCCACACUGGGACUGAGACACGGCCCAAACUCCUACGGGAGGCAGCAGUAGGGAAUCUUCCACAAUGGGCGAAAGCCUGAUGGAGCAACCCCGCGUGAGUGAAGAAGGUUUUCGGAUCGUAAAACUCUGUUGUAAGGGAAGAACAAGUACAGUAGUAACUGGCUGUACCUUGACGGUACCUUAUUAGAAAGCCACGGCUAACUACGUGCCAGCAGCCGCGGUAAUACGUAGGUGGCAAGCGUUGUCCGGAAUUAUUGGGCGUAAAGCGCGCGCAGGCGGUCCUUUAAGUCUGAUGUGAAAGCCCACGGCUCACCCGUGGAGGGUCAUUGGAAACUGGGGGACUUGAGUGCAGAAGAGGAAAGUGGAAUUCCAAGUGUAGCGGUGAAAUGCGUAGAGAUUUGGAGGAACACCAGUGGCGAAGGCGACUUUCUGGUCUGUAACUGACGCUGAGGCGCGAAAGCGUGGGGAGCAAACAGGAUUAGAUACCCUGGUAGUCCACGCCGUAAACGAUGAGUGCUAAGUGUUAGGGGGUUUCCGCCCCUUAGUGCUGCAGCUAACGCAUUAAGCACUCCGCCUGGGGAGUACGGUCGCAAGACUGAAACUCAAAGGAAUUGACGGGGGCCCGCACAAGCGGUGGAGCAUGUGGUUUAAUUCGAAGCAACGCGAAGAACCUUACCAGGUCUUGACAUCCCGUUGACCACUGUAGAGAUAUGGUUUUCCCUUCGGGGACAACGGUGACAGGUGGUGCAUGGUUGUCGUCAGCUCGUGUCGUGAGAUGUUGGGUUAAGUCCCGCAACGAGCGCAACCCUUGAUCUUAGUUGCCAUCAUUUAGUUGGGCACUCUAAGGUGACUGCCGGUGACAAACCGGAGGAAGGUGGGGAUGACGUCAAAUCAUCAUGCCCCUUAUGACCUGGGCUACACACGUGCUACAAUGGACGAUACAAACGGUUGCCAACUCGCGAGAGGGAGCUAAUCCGAUAAAGUCGUUCUCAGUUC